CCCUUAGAUGUUCUGGGCUGCACGCGCGCUACACUGACGCACGCAACAGGUGCCUGCUCCGAGAGGACUGGGUAAUCAUUUGAGUGUGCGUCGUGAUGGGGAUAGAAUAUUGUAAUUAUUACUCUUCGACGAGGAAUUCCUAGUAAGCGCCAGUCAGCAGCUUGCGUCGAUUACGUCCCUGCCCUUUGUACACACCGCCCGUCGCUCCUACCGAUUGGGUGUGCUGGUGAAAUGUUCGGAUCGGCCGUUUGUCGCGGUUUCCGCGUCAUGUGGCUGAGAAGUUCAUUAAACCCUCCCACCUAGAGGAAGGAGAAGUCGUAACA
This 323-nucleotide ribosomal RNA is filed under the name uncultured eukaryote. Its description in RNAcentral is "partial 18S ribosomal RNA". It matches the Rfam family "Eukaryotic small subunit ribosomal RNA", at positions 1470 to 1796 of the family's 1831-position model. The record is from RNAcentral.